Long non-coding RNA from Esox lucius (northern pike), 581 nucleotides. The record is from Ensembl. NCBI's taxonomy places the organism in Eukaryota, Metazoa, Chordata, Actinopteri, Esociformes, Esocidae.
CGCAUGCGCACAACAGCGGCUUGAGAACCCUACUCCUCCUGUCACCAGUGGCUGUCACAACAUUGAGGGGCAAAAAGACAGCAGUGUGGGCCACGAAUCAGUCUGCUGAGGACAUAGAAUGUGAUUGAAAUGGAAGCUCGGAGACAGAGUCCCUGAUUAGUCAGAAGACUGGCCGAGUGCAGUUACCAACCCAAUAGAUCCUGUCUCUGAUGAUGCAGGCAGAGGAUAGAAAGAGAAGAAAACUGAGUGUGAGUUCUGGAAAAGGCGCAUCGGAGGAAUAUUAUCUAAGAGAGCGACCAAAAGAGGACGCAACAAGGAUGAAGAACAAAGUGACAAGCACAACAGCGUCCAGUGGUAAAAAGGCGUGGUCGUGGGACCAGUACCUGGAAGAGGUGAAGGCCAUGGCAGCUCCCCCAACGCUCUUCACUGAGGUCAGCAUCUCAUCUCUCCAACAGUAGAGACUGCUGUUGCCUGACUCCAAAAGCCUGUUCAUUAGGGGGCGCAGUAGCAAGAAUUAACACACAAUGAAAACUGAAAACGUUCGUACCGGAAUUGCAGUGAUUUUAUGACCAUAAGCCAGC